UGAGGAAUAUUGGUCAAUGGGCGAGAGCCUGAACCAGCCAAGUCGCGUGAAGGAAUACGGCCCUAUGGGUCUUAAACUUCUUUUGUAUAGGGGUAAAGGUAUGUACGUGUACAUAUUUGCAAGUACUAUACGAAUAAGGAUCGGCUAACUCCGUGCCAGCAGCCGCGGUAAUACGGAGGAUCCGAGCGUUAUCCGGAUUUAUUGGGUUUAAAGGGAGCGUAGGCCGGAGAUUAAGCGUGUUGUGAAAUGUAGACGCUCAACGUCUGCACUGCAGCGCGAACUGGUUUCCUUGAGUACGCACAAAGUGGGCGGAAUUCGUGGUGUAGCGGUGAAAUGCUUAGAUAUCACGAAGAACUCCGAUUGCGAAGGCAGCUCACUGGAGCGCAACUGACGCUGAAGCUCGAAAGUGCGGGUAUCGAACAGGAUUAGAUACCCUGGUAGU
RNAcentral lists this ribosomal RNA (442 nucleotides) under uncultured Prevotella sp. RNAcentral describes it as "bacterial SSU rRNA". It matches the Rfam family "Bacterial small subunit ribosomal RNA", at positions 355 to 794 of the family's 1533-position model. The record is from RNAcentral. Lineage: Bacteria; Pseudomonadati; Bacteroidota; Bacteroidia; Bacteroidales; Prevotellaceae.